Molecule: ribosomal RNA, 486 nt
Filed under: uncultured bacterium
Lineage: Bacteria
Description: bacterial SSU rRNA
Rfam family: Bacterial small subunit ribosomal RNA
Source: RNAcentral
GACGAACGCUGGCGGCGUGGAUUAGGCAUGCAAGUCGAACGGUAUCAUCCUUUCGGGGGUGAGAGAGUGGCGAACUGGUGAGUAACACGUAGGUUAUCUACCCUCAAGACGGGGACAACCCGGGAAACUUGGGCUAAUACCGGAUGUGAGCAACUUUUAGUUGUUUGAAAGGUGGCGUAAGCUGUCGCUUGGGGAUGAGCCUGCGUCCUAUUAGUUAGUUGGUGAGGUAACGGCUCACCUAGGCAAUGAUAGGUAGGCGGCCUUAACGGGUGGUCGCCCACACUGGGAUUGAGAUACGGCCCAGACUCCUACGGGAGGCAGCAGUCGAGAAUAGUCUACAAUGGUCGGAAGACUGAUAGUGCGACGCCGCGUGAACGAUGAAUCCCUUCGGGGUGUAAAGUUCUUUUAUAUGUGAGCAGUGCUUCUUAUAUUAACAGUAUGGGGAGAGAGAUAUUAGCAUAUGAAUAAGCAACGGCUAACUCCGUG